CCUACGGGAGGCUGCAGUGAGGAAUAUUGGUCAAUGGACGAGAGUCUGAACCAGCCAAGCAGCGUGAAGGAUGACUGCCCUGUGGGUUGUAAACUUCUUUUAUAUGGGAAUAAAAUGUUCCACGUGUGGGAUUUUGUAUGUACCAUAUGAAUAAGGAUCGGCUAACUCCGUGCCAGCAGCCGCGGUAAUACGGAGGAUCCGAGCGUUAUCCGGAUUUAUUGGGUUUAAAGGGAGCGUAGGUGGAUUGUUAAGUCAGUUGUGAAAGUUCGCGGCUCAACCGGAGACUGGCAGUUGAAACUGGCAGUCUUGAGUACAGUAGAGGUGUGCGGAAUUCGUGGUGUAGCGGUGAAAUGCUUAGAUAUCACGAAGAACUCCGAUUGCGAAGGCAGUUCACUGGACUGCAACUGACACUGAGGCUCGAAAGUGUGGGUAUCAAACAGGAUUAGAUACCCGUGUAGUC
This 460-nucleotide ribosomal RNA is filed under the name uncultured bacterium. RNAcentral's name for it is "partial 16S ribosomal RNA". It matches the Rfam family "Bacterial small subunit ribosomal RNA", at positions 338 to 795 of the family's 1533-position model. The record is from RNAcentral.